RNAcentral lists this transfer RNA (63 nucleotides) under Rhagophthalmus ohbai. RNAcentral describes it as "tRNA-Thr". Lineage: Eukaryota; Metazoa; Arthropoda; Insecta; Coleoptera; Rhagophthalmidae. The record is from RNAcentral.
GUUUUAAUAAUUUAAAAUAAAAUAUUGGUCUUGUAAACCAAAAAUAAGAAAACUUUUAAAACU